GAGCAAGUAAUUGUUCGAUUGAUUGAUUGGGGUUUUGGUACUUAAAUGGAAAUAGCUAGACUUAAGGUUUUUAUUCAUAUAAUCAGGAUUAUAAUCCUACAGAUGCUAAUAAGUUGUAUGCAUGAUAUUAUAGAGCUCAACACUUAAUAACAAACCAUUAGGCUUUCGCUUUCUAGGUCUAUCUAUUGACCAGUGUUGAUCGAUUAUUCUAUAGGAAUAUCGAUUGAUACACUUGUUGAAACGUCGAUCG
RNAcentral lists this long non-coding RNA (250 nucleotides) under Brassica napus (rape). RNAcentral's name for it is "long non-coding RNA (BNAP_LNC023043)". Lineage: Eukaryota; Viridiplantae; Streptophyta; Magnoliopsida; Brassicales; Brassicaceae. The record is from RNAcentral.